AAUAUUGGACAAUGGGCGAAAGCCUGAUCCAGCCAUGCCGCGUGUGUGAAGAAGGUCUUCGGAGUGUAAAGCACUUUGAGGUGGGGGGGAGGGCAGUAAGUUAAUAACUUGCUGUUUUGACGUUAGCGCCAGAAGAAGCACCGUCUACAUUCGUGCCAGCAGCCGCGGUAAUACGAGGGGUGAAAGCGUUAAUCUGAAUUACUGGGCGUAAAGAGCGCGUAGGUGGUGUGUUAAGUUGGAAGUGAAAGCCCCGGGCUCAACCUGGGAAAUGCUUUCAAAACUGGCAAGCUAGAGUAUGGCAGAGGGUGGUGGAAUUUCCUGUGUAGCGGUGAAAUGCGUAGAUAUAGGAAGGAACACCAGUGGCGAAGGCGACCACCUGGGCUAAUACUGACACUGAGGUGCGAAAGCGUGGGGAGCAAACAG
Molecule: ribosomal RNA, 423 nt
Filed under: uncultured bacterium
Lineage: Bacteria
Description: partial 16S ribosomal RNA
Rfam family: Bacterial small subunit ribosomal RNA
Source: RNAcentral